GACGAACGCUGGCGGCGUGCUUAACACAUGCAAGUCGAACGGAAAGGCCCUGCUUUUGUUGGGUUCUCGAGUGGCGAACGGGUGAGUAACACGUGAGUAACCUGCCCUUGACUUUGGGAUAACUUCAGGAAACUGGGGCUAAUACCGGAGAGGAUCUCCUGCUGCAUGGUGGGGGUUGGAAAGUUUCGGCGGUUGGGGAUGGACUCGCGGCUUAUCAGCUUGUUGGUGGGGUAGUGGCUUACCAAGGCUUUGACGGGUAGCCGGCCUGGGAGGGUGACCGGCGACAUUGGGACUGAGAUACGGCCCAGAAUCCUACGGGAGGCAGCAGUGGGGAAUAUUGCACAAUGGGCGGAAGCCUGAUGCAGCAACGCCGCGUGCGGGAUGACGGCCUUCGGGUUGUAAACCGCUUUCGCCUGUGACGAAGCGUGAGUGACGGUAAUGGGUAAAGAAGCACCGGCUAACUACGUG
RNAcentral lists this ribosomal RNA (468 nucleotides) under uncultured bacterium. RNAcentral describes it as "partial 16S ribosomal RNA". It matches the Rfam family "Bacterial small subunit ribosomal RNA", at positions 28 to 507 of the family's 1533-position model. The record is from RNAcentral.